Molecule: unclassified non-coding RNA, 159 nt
Filed under: uncultured Ascomycota
Lineage: Eukaryota; Fungi; Ascomycota
Description: sequence contains ITS1
Source: RNAcentral
CAGGGUUUCCAAGACUCCCUCACCACUGUGAACCUACCCUAAGCCGUUGCUUCGGCGGGCCGGCCCCAGGCCGCUCGGGCCCCUCCGGGGGCGCCCGCCGGAGGUACCCAAACCACUGACGCUUUGUGGCCUCUCCGAGUAACUGUACCGAAUAAGUCA